GACGAACGCUGGCGGCGUGCUUAACACAUGCAAGUCGAACGGAAAGGCCCUGCUUUUGUGGGGUGCUCGAGUGGCGAACGGGUGAGUAACACGUGAGUAACCUGCCCUUGACUUUGGGAUAACUUCAGGCAACUGGGGCUAAUACCGGAUAGGAGCUCCUGCUGCAUGGUGGGGGUUGGAAAGUUUCGGCGGUUGGGGAUGGACUCGCGGCUUAUCAGCUUGUUGGUGGGGUAGUGGCUUACCAAGGCUUUGACGGGUAGCCGGCCUGAGAGGGUGACCGGCCACAAUGGGACGGAGAUACGGCCCAGACUCCUACGGGAGGCAGCAGUGGGGAAUAUUGCACAAUGGGCGGAAGCCUGAUGCAGCAACGCCGGGUGCGGGAUAACGGCCUUCGGGUUGUAAACCGCAUUCGCCUGUGACGAAGCGUGAGUGACGGUAAUGGGUAAAGAAGCACCGGCUAACUACGUG
RNAcentral lists this ribosomal RNA (468 nucleotides) under uncultured bacterium. RNAcentral describes it as "partial 16S ribosomal RNA". It matches the Rfam family "Bacterial small subunit ribosomal RNA", at positions 28 to 507 of the family's 1533-position model. The record is from RNAcentral.